RNAcentral lists this ribosomal RNA (900 nucleotides) under uncultured bacterium. RNAcentral's name for it is "bacterial SSU rRNA". It matches the Rfam family "Archaeal small subunit ribosomal RNA", at positions 1 to 883 of the family's 1478-position model. The record is from RNAcentral.
ACUCCGGUUGAUCCUGCCGGACCCGACCGCUAUCGGGGUAGGGCUAAGCCAUGGGAGUCGAACGCCCCGCCGCUGCGGGGCGUGGCGGACGGCUGAGUAACACGUGGCUAACCUACCCUCGGGACGGGGAUAACCCCUCGGGAAACUGGGGCUAAUCCCCGAUAGGCGGGGGGUGCCUGGAAGGGUCCUCCGCCGAAAGGGGCCGCGGGGGGUUAUCGCCCGCGGUCCGCCCGAGGAUGGGGCUGCGGCCCAUCACGGUAGUUGGCGGGGUAAUGGCCCGCCAAGCCUACGACGGGUAGGGGCCGUGAGAGCGGGAGCCCCCAGAUGGGCACUGAGACAAGGGCCCAGGCCCUACGGGGCGCACCAGGCGCGAAAACUCCGCAAUGCGGGCAACCGUGACGGGGCUACCCCGAGUGCCCCCCUUGGGGGGGCUUUUCCCCGCUGUAAGUAGGCGGGGGAAUAAGCGGGGGGCAAGACUGGUGUCAGCCGCCGCGGUAAUACCAGCCCCGCGAGCGGUCGGGGUGCUUACUGGGCCUAAAGCGCCCGUAGCCGGCUCGACAAGUCCCCGCCUAAAGCCCCGGGCUCAACCCGGGGAGUGGCGGGGAUACUGUCGGGCUAGGGGGCGGGAGAGGCCGAGGGUACUCCCGGGGUAGGGGCGAAAUCCAUUAAUCCCGGGAGGACCACCAGUGGCGAAGGCGCUCGGCUGGAACGCGCCCGACGGUGAGGGGCGAAAGCCGGGGGAGCGAACCGGAUUAGAUACCCGGGUAGUCCCGGCUGUAAACGAUGCGGGCUAGGUGUUGGGCGGGCGUGCGAGCCCGCCCAGUGCCGCAGGGAAGCCGUUAAGCCCGCCGCCUGGGGAGUACGGCCGCAAGGCUGAAAGGUCCGCGGGAGGGGUCUUCU